Molecule: ribosomal RNA, 433 nt
Filed under: uncultured bacterium
Lineage: Bacteria
Description: partial 16S ribosomal RNA
Rfam family: Bacterial small subunit ribosomal RNA
Source: RNAcentral
AACGAACGCUGGCGGCAUGCCUAACACAUGCAAGUCGAACGAGACCUUCGGGUCUAGUGGCGCACGGGUGCGUAACGCGUGGGAACCUGCCCUUAGGUUCGGAAUAACUCCCCGAAAGGGGUGCUAAUACCGGAUAAUGUCUUCGGACCAAAGAUUUAUCGCCUUUGGAUGGGCCCGCGUUGGAUUAGCUAGUUGGUAGGGUAAAAGCCUACCAAGGCGACGAUCCAUAGCUGGUCUGAGAGGAUGAUCAGCCACACUGGGACUGAGACACGGCCCAGACUCCUACGGGAGGCAGCAGUGGGGAAUAUUGGACAAUGGGCGAAAGCCUGAUCCAGCAAUGCCGCGUGAGUGAUGAAGGCCUUAGGGUUGUAAAGCUCUUUUACCCGGGAUGAUAAUGACAGUACCGGGAGAAUAAGCUCCGGCAAACUCCGUG